AAAGAUUUAGUUAAUUUAUAACCUAAGUAUGUCAAACUUAAAUAAUCAUUAUUUUGAUAAUCUUUA
RNAcentral lists this transfer RNA (66 nucleotides) under Nannochorista philpotti. Its description in RNAcentral is "tRNA-Asp". Lineage: Eukaryota; Metazoa; Arthropoda; Insecta; Mecoptera; Nannochoristidae. The record is from RNAcentral.